This is a non-coding RNA of Magnaporthiopsis poae ATCC 64411, 119 nucleotides long. Lineage: Eukaryota; Fungi; Ascomycota; Sordariomycetes; Magnaporthales; Magnaporthaceae. The record is from the annotation of a GenBank genome assembly.
ACGACCAUACCCACUGAAAUAUACGGCAUCCCGUCCGCUCCCCCUAGUUAAAACAGUGAGGGCUUGUUUGAUGCUUUUGGUGAGUCUGGAGCAAUUGGGAACCGGGCGCCUGCUAGCCA